Molecule: ribosomal RNA, 509 nt
Filed under: Fowlea piscator (Checkered keelback)
Lineage: Eukaryota; Metazoa; Chordata; Lepidosauria; Squamata; Natricidae
Description: partial 16S ribosomal RNA
Rfam family: Bacterial large subunit ribosomal RNA
Source: RNAcentral
AACCUUUAGCCCAAAACAAAUAUUAAAGGCAACGCCUGCCCAGUGAACAAUUAAACGGCCGCGGUACCCUAACCGUGCAAAGGUAGCAAAAUCAUUUGUCUAUUAACUGUAGACCUGUAUGAAAGGCAAAAUGAGGGUUUAACUGUCUCUUAUAAUUAAUCUAUUAAACUGAUCUCCUAGUAAAAAAGCUAGAAUACUCCCACAAGACCAGAAGACCCUGUGAAGCUUUAAUUAAACUAUUAAACCCCAUAAUAACUACUUUAGGUUGGGGCGACCUUGGAAACAAAAAGAACUUCCAAACUACAUACUACAUCUCUACUUUUUUAGGCCUACGAGCCAACUAACGACCCAGUAAUACUGAUAAAUGAACAAAGUUACUCCAGGGAUAACAGCGCUAUCUUCUUCAAGAGCCCAUAUCAAAAAGAAGGUUUACGACCUCGAUGUUGGAUCAGGACAUCCCAAUGGUGCAGCCGCUAUUAAAGGUUCGUUUGUUCAACGAUUAAUGUCCC